Molecule: ribosomal RNA, 253 nt
Filed under: uncultured bacterium
Lineage: Bacteria
Description: partial 16S ribosomal RNA
Rfam family: Bacterial small subunit ribosomal RNA
Source: RNAcentral
CACGUAGGGCGCAAGCGUUGUCCGGAAUUAUUGGGCGUAAAGAGCUCGUAGGCGGUCUGUUGCGUCCGCUGUGAAAACUCGGGGCUUAACCCCGAGCCUGCAGUGGAUACGGGCAGACUAGAGGUAGGUAGGGGAGAAUGGAAUUCCCGGUGUAGCGGUGAAAUGCGCAGAUAUCGGGAGGAACACCGGUGGCGAAGGCGGUUCUCUGGGCCUUACCUGACGCUGAGGAGCGAAAGCCAGGGGAGCGAACGGG